UACGAAGGGAGCUAGCGUUGUUCGGAAUCACUGGGCGUAAAGCGCUCGUAGGCGGUUGUGUCAGUCAGGGGUGAAAUCCCGGAGCUCAACUUCGGAACUGCCUCUGAUACAGCACGUCUUGAGUCCGAUAGAGGUGGGUGGAAUUCCUAGUGUAGAGGUGAAAUUCGUAGAUAUUAGGAAGAACACCGGUGGCGAAGGCGGCCCACUGGAUCGGUACUGACGCUGAGGUGCGAAAGCGUGGGGAGCAAACAGG
RNAcentral lists this ribosomal RNA (253 nucleotides) under uncultured bacterium. RNAcentral describes it as "partial 16S ribosomal RNA". It matches the Rfam family "Bacterial small subunit ribosomal RNA", at positions 524 to 776 of the family's 1533-position model. The record is from RNAcentral.